CCCGCAAGGGGUGGAGCUGACCGGUACUAACGGGGGAAAGGCAAUCACACAACACGCCAUGUUGUUUUUGGUGUUGCCCGUAUUGCGUCCUUCGGCUUGUUCCCCCGGCAGGGAGCAUCCGUUUGGUCCACGGAACGAAUUCGCGUCCAUUGUCCGGUUCCCGAACCGCCAUAUGCCACCGUCCCCCCGGCGGGGUGGUGAUAGGUUGAAGAUUUGCGGCGACCAUAGCCAAGGUGAGACGCCCGGUCCCAUUCCGAACCCGGAAGCUAAGGCCUUGCACGGCGAUGGUACUGCACCUGAGAGGGUGUGGGAGAGUAGCACGUCGCCGCUU
RNAcentral lists this ribosomal RNA (331 nucleotides) under Bifidobacterium merycicum DSM 6492. Lineage: Bacteria; Bacillati; Actinomycetota; Actinomycetes; Bifidobacteriales; Bifidobacteriaceae. The record is from RNAcentral.